This 438-nucleotide long non-coding RNA is filed under the name Homo sapiens (human). RNAcentral describes it as "non-protein coding lnc-OR6J1-1:1". Lineage: Eukaryota; Metazoa; Chordata; Mammalia; Primates; Hominidae. The record is from RNAcentral.
AUGAAGUUCAAUCCCUUUGUGACUUCUGACCAAAGCAAGAACUGCAAAAGGCAUUUCAGUGAACCUUCCCACAUUUGCAGGAAGACAAUGUCUUCCUCUCUUUCCACAGAGCUGAGAUAGAAGUACAACGUUUGAUCCAUGCCCAUCUGAAAGGAUGAUGAAGUUCAGGUUGUAUGAGGACACCAUAAAGGUCAGCAAACUGGCAAAGUACUCCAGGUUUACAGGAAGAAAUAUGUCAUCUACAUUGAAUGGGUGCAGUGGGAAAAGGCUAAUGGCACAACUAUCCAUGUAAGCAUUCACCCCAGCAAAGUGGUUACCACUGGGCUAAAACGGGACAAAGACUGCAAAAAUGUCCUUGAAUGGAAAGGAAAAUCUCACCAAGUAGGAAAGGAAAAGGGCAAAUACAAGGAAGAAACAAUAGAGAAGAUGCAGGAAUGA